AAGCGUAAGGAUUAGAGAGACUUUGACAACGGCCAAAUUGUGAUGGCUAGAUGACUGGGUCAGAGCAUCUUUA
Molecule: non-coding RNA, 73 nt
Organism: Pangasianodon gigas (Mekong giant catfish)
Lineage: Eukaryota; Metazoa; Chordata; Actinopteri; Siluriformes; Pangasiidae
Source: the annotation of a GenBank genome assembly